CAGCAGCCGCGGUAAUACGAAGGGGGCUAGCGUUGCUCGGAAUUACUGGGCGUAAAGGGAGCGUAGGCGGACAUUUAAGUCAGGGGUGAAAUCCCAGAGCUCAACUCUGGAACUGCCCUUGAUACUGGGUGUCUUGAGUGUGAUAGAGGUAUGUGGAACUCCGAGUGUAGAGGUGAAAUUCGUAGAUAUUCGGAAGAACACCAGUGGCGAAGGCGACAUACUGGAUCAUUACUGACGCUGAGGCUCGAAAGCGUGGGGAGCAAACAGGAUUAGAUACCCCAGUAGUCCCUGUCUCUUAUAC
Molecule: ribosomal RNA, 301 nt
Filed under: uncultured bacterium
Lineage: Bacteria
Description: partial 16S ribosomal RNA
Rfam family: Bacterial small subunit ribosomal RNA
Source: RNAcentral